This 2925-nucleotide ribosomal RNA is filed under the name Escherichia coli. RNAcentral describes it as "bacterial LSU rRNA". It matches the Rfam family "Bacterial large subunit ribosomal RNA". The record is from RNAcentral. Lineage: Bacteria; Pseudomonadati; Pseudomonadota; Gammaproteobacteria; Enterobacterales; Enterobacteriaceae.
GGGUUGUGAGGUUAAGCGACUAAGCGUACACGGUGGAUGCCCUGGCAGUCAGAGGCGAUGAAGGACGUGCUAAUCUGCGAUAAGCGUCGGUAAGGUGAUAUGAACCGUUAUAACCGGCGAUUUCCGAAUGGGGAAACCCAGUGUGUUUCGACACACUAUCAUUAACUGAAUCCAUAGGUUAAUGAGGCGAACCGGGGGAACUGAAACAUCUAAGUACCCCGAGGAAAAGAAAUCAACCGAGAUUCCCCCAGUAGCGGCGAGCGAACGGGGAGCAGCCCAGAGCCUGAAUCAGUAUGUGUGUUAGUGGAAGCGUCUGGAAAGGCGCGCGAUACAGGGUGACAGCCCCGUACACAAAAAUGCACAUAUUGUGAGCUCGAUGAGUAGGGCGGGACACGUGGUAUCCUGUCUGAAUAUGGGGGGACCAUCCUCCAAGGCUAAAUACUCCUGACUGACCGAUAGUGAACCAGUACCGUGAGGGAAAGGCGAAAAGAACCCCGGCGAGGGGAGUGAAAAAGAACCUGAAACCGUGUACGUACAAGCAGUGGGAGCACGCUUAGGCGUGUGACUGCGUACCUUUUGUAUAAUGGGUCAGCGACUUAUAUUCUGUAGCAAGGUUAACCGAAUAGGGGAGCCGAAGGGAAACCGAGUCUUAACUGGGCGUUAAGUUGCAGGGUAUAGACCCGAAACCCGGUGAUCUAGCCAUGGGCAGGUUGAAGGUUGGGUAACACUAACUGGAGGACCGAACCGACUAAUGUUGAAAAAUUAGCGGAUGACUUGUGGCUGGGGGUGAAAGGCCAAUCAAACCGGGAGAUAGCUGGUUCUCCCCGAAAGCUAUUUAGGUAGCGCCUCGUGAAUUCAUCUCCGGGGGUAGAGCACUGUUUCGGCAAGGGGGUCAUCCCGACUUACCAACCCGAUGCAAACUGCGAAUACCGGAGAAUGUUAUCACGGGAGACACACGGCGGGUGCUAACGUCCGUCGUGAAGAGGGAAACAACCCAGACCGCCAGCUAAGGUCCCAAAGUCAUGGUUAAGUGGGAAACGAUGUGGGAAGGCCCAGACAGCCAGGAUGUUGGCUUAGAAGCAGCCAUCAUUUAAAGAAAGCGUAAUAGCUCACUGGUCGAGUCGGCCUGCGCGGAAGAUGUAACGGGGCUAAACCAUGCACCGAAGCUGCGGCAGCGACGCUUAUGCGUUGUUGGGUAGGGGAGCGUUCUGUAAGCCUGUGAAGGUGUACUGUGAGGUAUGCUGGAGGUAUCAGAAGUGCGAAUGCUGACAUAAGUAACGAUAAAGCGGGUGAAAAGCCCGCUCGCCGGAAGACCAAGGGUUCCUGUCCAACGUUAAUCGGGGCAGGGUGAGUCGACCCCUAAGGCGAGGCCGAAAGGCGUAGUCGAUGGGAAACAGGUUAAUAUUCCUGUACUUGGUGUUACUGCGAAGGGGGGACGGAGAAGGCUAUGUUGGCCGGGCGACGGUUGUCCCGGUUUAAGCGUGUAGGCUGGUUUUCCAGGCAAAUCCGGAAAAUCAAGGCUGAGGCGUGAUGACGAGGCACUACGGUGCUGAAGCAACAAAUGCCCUGCUUCCAGGAAAAGCCUCUAAGCAUCAGGUAACAUCAAAUCGUACCCCAAACCGACACAGGUGGUCAGGUAGAGAAUACCAAGGCGCUUGAGAGAACUCGGGUGAAGGAACUAGGCAAAAUGGUGCCGUAACUUCGGGAGAAGGCACGCUGAUAUGUAGGUGAAGUCCCUCGCGGAUGGAGCUGAAAUCAGUCGAAGAUACCAGCUGGCUGCAACUGUUUAUUAAAAACACAGCACUGUGCAAACACGAAAGUGGACGUAUACGGUGUGACGCCUGCCCGGUGCCGGAAGGUUAAUUGAUGGGGUCAGCGCAAGCGAAGCUCUUGAUCGAAGCCCCGGUAAACGGCGGCCGUAACUAUAACGGUCCUAAGGUAGCGAAAUUCCUUGUCGGGUAAGUUCCGACCUGCACGAAUGGCGUAAUGAUGGCCAGGCUGUCUCCACCCGAGACUCAGUGAAAUUGAACUCGCUGUGAAGAUGCAGUGUACCCGCGGCAAGACGGAAAGACCCCGUGAACCUUUACUAUAGCUUGACACUGAACAUUGAGCCUUGAUGUGUAGGAUAGGUGGGAGGCUUUGAAGUGUGGACGCCAGUCUGCAUGGAGCCGACCUUGAAAUACCACCCUUUAAUGUUUGAUGUUCUAACGUUGACCCGUGAUCCGGGUUGCGGACAGUGUCUGGUGGGUAGUUUGACUGGGGCGGUCUCCUCCUAAAGAGUAACGGAGGAGCACGAAGGUUGGCUAAUCCUGGUCGGACAUCAGGAGGUUAGUGCAAUGGCAUAAGCCAGCUUGACUGCGAGCGUGACGGCGCGAGCAGGUGCGAAAGCAGGUCAUAGUGAUCCGGUGGUUCUGAAUGGAAGGGCCAUCGCUCAACGGAUAAAAGGUACUCCGGGGAUAACAGGCUGAUACCGCCCAAGAGUUCAUAUCGACGGCGGUGUUUGGCACCUCGAUGUCGGCUCAUCACAUCCUGGGGCUGAAGUAGGUCCCAAGGGUAUGGCUGUUCGCCAUUUAAAGUGGUACGCGAGCUGGGUUUAGAACGUCGUGAGACAGUUCGGUCCCUAUCUGCCGUGGGCGCUGGAGAACUGAGGGGGGCUGCUCCUAGUACGAGAGGACCGGAGUGGACGCAUCACUGGUGUUCGGGUUGUCAUGCCAAUGGCACUGCCCGGUAGCUAAAUGCGGAAGAGAUAAGUGCUGAAAGCAUCUAAGCACGAAACUUGCCCCGAGAUGAGUUCUCCCUGACUCCUUGAGAGUCCUGAAGGAACGUUGAAGACGACGACGUUGAUAGGCCGGGUGUGUAAGCGCAGCGAUGCGUUGAGCUAACCGGUACUAAUGAACCGUGAGGCUUAACCUUACAACGCCGAAG